RNAcentral lists this ribosomal RNA (508 nucleotides) under Mantidactylus katae. RNAcentral's name for it is "partial 16S ribosomal RNA". The stretch from base 1 to 395 matches the Rfam family "Bacterial large subunit ribosomal RNA", at positions 711 to 1301 of the family's 2925-position model. Lineage: Eukaryota; Metazoa; Chordata; Amphibia; Anura; Mantellidae. The record is from RNAcentral.
ACCCCCGAAACUCGGUGAGCUACUUCGAGACAGUCUUAAGAACGUACCCGUCUCUGUCGCAAAAGAGUGGGAAGAUCUCCAAGUAGAGGCAACAAACCUACCGCACCCAGAGAUAGCUGGUUACUCAAGAAAAGAAUUUAAGUUCAACCUAAAGUUUCUCGAUUAUACAAAAUAAAAACUUUAGAGCCACUCAAAUAAGGCACAGCUUAUUUGAAACAGGAUUCAACCUACACCAUCGGGUAAUUAUACUAAACAAGUAAUAAGUGGGCCUAAAAGCAGCCACCUACAAAAAGCGUUAAAGCUUAAUACCAAUUUUUACCUAAUAUCUUUACUCCCCUAGAACCCCUCACUAAUAUUGAGUAACUCCAUAAACUUAUGGAAGCUAUUAUGCUAGGACUAGUAACAAGAAAUAGAUUUUCUCCUAAAAUGUAAGCCUAAGCCACAAUAGACAAACUACUGGCAAUUAACGUAAAUGAAGACAUUAUAGUAACCUCAACAAGAAAACCCU